AGAUUAAGUUAUUAAGGGCGCACGGUGGAUGCCUUGGCACUAGAAGCCGAUGAAGGACGUUACUAACGACGAUAUGCUUUGGGGAGCUGUAAGUAAGCUUUGAUCCAGAGAUUUCCGAAUGGGGAAACCCAGCAUGAGUUAUGUCAUGUUAUCGAUAUGUGAAUACAUAGCAUAUCAGAAGGCACACCCGGAGAACUGAAACAUCUUAGUACCCGGAGGAAGAGAAAGAAAAUUCGAUUCCCUUAGUAGCGGCGAGCGAAACGGGAAGAGCCCAAACCAACAAGCUUGCUUGUUGGGGUUGUAGGACACUCUAUACGGAGUUACAAAGGACGACAUUAGACGAAUCAUCUGGAAAGAUGAAUCAAAGAAGGUAAUAAUCCUGUAGUCGAAAAUGUUGUCUCUCUUGAGUGGAUCCUGAGUACGACGGAGCACGUGAAAUUCCGUCGGAAUCUGGGAGGACCAUCUCCUAAGGCUAAAUACUCUCUAGUGACCGAUAGUGAACCAGUACCGUGAGGGAAAGGUGAAAAGCACCCCGGAAGGGGAGUGAAAUAGAACCUGAAACCGUGUGCUUACAAGUAGUCAGAGCCCGUUAAUGGGUGAUGGCGUGCCUUUUGUAGAAUGAACCGGCGAGUUACGAUUUGAUGCAAGGUUAAGCAGUAAAUGUGGAGCCGUAGCGAAAGCGAGUCUGAAUAGGGCGUUUAGUAUUUGGUCGUAGACCCGAAACCAGGUGAUCUACCCUUGGUCAGGUUGAAGUUCAGGUAACACUGAAUGGAGGACCGAACCGACUUACGUUGAAAAGUGAGCGGAUGAACUGAGGGUAGCGGAGAAAUUCCAAUCGAACCUGGAGAUAGCUGGUUCUCUCCGAAAUAGCUUUAGGGCUAGCCUCAAGUGAUGAUUAUUGGAGGUAGAGCACUGUUUGGACGAGGGGCCCCUCUCGGGUUACCGAAUUCAGACAAACUCCGAAUGCCAAUUAAUUUAACUUGGGAGUCAGAACAUGGGUGAUAAGGUCCGUGUUCGAAAGGGAAACAGCCCAGACCACCAGCUAAGGUCCCAAAAUAUAUGUUAAGUGGAAAAGGAUGUGGCGUUGCCCAGACAACUAGGAUGUUGGCUUAGAAGCAGCCAUCAUUUAAAGAGUGCGUAAUAGCUCACUAGUCGAGUGACACUGCGCCGAAAAUGUACCGGGGCUAAACAUAUUACCGAAGCUGUGGAUUGUCCUUUGGACAAUGGUAGGAGAGCGUUCUAAGGGCGUUGAAGCAUGAUCGUAAGGACAUGUGGAGCGCUUAGAAGUGAGAAUGCCGGUGUGAGUAGCGAAAGACGGGUGAGAAUCCCGUCCACCGAUUGACUAAGGUUUCCAGAGGAAGGCUCGUCCGCUCUGGGUUAGUCGGGUCCUAAGCUGAGGCCGACAGGCGUAGGCGAUGGAUAACAGGUUGAUAUUCCUGUACCACCUAUAAUCGUUUUAAUCGAUGGGGGGACGCAGUAGGAUAGGCGAAGCGUGCGAUUGGAUUGCACGUCUAAGCAGUAAGGCUGAGUAUUAGGCAAAUCCGGUACUCGUUAAGGCUGAGCUGUGAUGGGGAGAAGACAUUGUGUCUUCGAGUCGUUGAUUUCACACUGCCGAGAAAAGCCUCUAGAUAGAAAAUAGGUGCCCGUACCGCAAACCGACACAGGUAGUCAAGAUGAGAAUUCUAAGGUGAGCGAGCGAACUCUCGUUAAGGAACUCGGCAAAAUGACCCCGUAACUUCGGGAGAAGGGGUGCUCUUUAGGGUUAACGCCCAGAAGAGCCGCAGUGAAUAGGCCCAAGCGACUGUUUAUCAAAAACACAGGUCUCUGCUAAACCGUAAGGUGAUGUAUAGGGGCUGACGCCUGCCCGGUGCUGGAAGGUUAAGAGGAGUGGUUAGCUUCUGCGAAGCUACGAAUCGAAGCCCCAGUAAACGGCGGCCGUAACUAUAACGGUCCUAAGGUAGCGAAAUUCCUUGUCGGGUAAGUUCCGACCCGCACGAAAGGCGUAACGAUUUGGGCACUGUCUCAACGAGAGACUCGGUGAAAUCAUAGUACCUGUGAAGAUGCAGGUUACCCGCGACAGGACGGAAAGACCCCGUGGAGCUUUACUGUAGCCUGAUAUUGAAAUUCGGCACAGCUUGUACAGGAUAGGUAGGAGCCUUUGAAACGUGAGCGCUAGCUUACGUGGAGGCGCUGGUGGGAUACUACCCUAGCUGUGUUGGCUUUCUAACCCGCACCACUUAUCGUGGUGGGAGACAGUGUCAGGCGGGCAGUUUGACUGGGGCGGUCGCCUCCUAAAAGGUAACGGAGGCGCUCAAAGGUUCCCUCAGAAUGGUUGGAAAUCAUUCAUAGAGUGUAAAGGCAUAAGGGAGCUUGACUGCGAGACCUACAAGUCGAGCAGGGUCGAAAGACGGACUUAGUGAUCCGGUGGUUCCGCAUGGAAGGGCCAUCGCUCAACGGAUAAAAGCUACCCCGGGGAUAACAGGCUUAUCUCCCCCAAGAGUUCACAUCGACGGGGAGGUUUGGCACCUCGAUGUCGGCUCAUCGCAUCCUGGGGCUGUAGUCGGUCCCAAGGGUUGGGCUGUUCGCCCAUUAAAGCGGUACGCGAGCUGGGUUCAGAACGUCGUGAGACAGUUCGGUCCCUAUCCGUCGUGGGCGUAGGAAAUUUGAGAGGAGCUGUCCUUAGUACGAGAGGACCGGGAUGGACAUACCUCUGGUGUACCAGUUGUCGUGCCAACGGCAUAGCUGGGUAGCUAUGUGUGGACGGGAUAAGUGCUGAAAGCAUCUAAGCAUGAAGCCCCCCUCAAGAUGAGAUUUCCCAACUUCGGUUAUAAGAUCCCUCAAAGAUGAUGAGGUUAAUAGGUUCGAGGUGGAAGCAUGGUGACAUGUGGAGCUGACGAAUACUAAUCGAUCGAAGACUUAAUC
RNAcentral lists this ribosomal RNA (2922 nucleotides) under Staphylococcus aureus. RNAcentral describes it as "partial 23S ribosomal RNA". It matches the Rfam family "Bacterial large subunit ribosomal RNA". The record is from RNAcentral. Lineage: Bacteria; Bacillati; Bacillota; Bacilli; Caryophanales; Staphylococcaceae.